GUACCCAGCCUAGAGCGAACGGAGAAGAUUUCUUUCUGAAAUGCAGACUUCAGGAACAGCAGGUCCAGAGGAGACCAAGUGCUUUCUAUGUUUGCAUGUGUAACCCCUGGGUCUCCCUGUUAGGGGAGCCUGAGAUCCACCCGGGAGCAAAUCAUCUUGGCACCGUCCCCAGCCAAGGUUGACAUGGCAAUGACUCAGCUUACCCAGGACAAUGCAGACUUCGCCACCCGAGAUCGUUACCACCGCUCUUCCUUCCUGAGUCGGGAACAGCUGAUGCCUCCCUACUAGACCCUCGCUGGAGCCCUCCUUUCUAGAAGCUGCUGUGGAGCUGAGGGACCCAAACCUCAGAACCUUUGGAAGUUGCUUCUACCAAUAAGAAAUCCCAAGACUGGUCUUCCCACCACAGCCUUGGACACCGGAAAUCACAUUCCAGACACUAGGCAUGGCCAUGGCUUCCACGUGCUUGAGGAGCCCACAGGCCACCAGGAUAAUGUAAAAAAACAAAAUGAGAGUUCUUAUUCUAAGAGCCAUAAUAAAUACUUCUUUUUAA
RNAcentral lists this long non-coding RNA (550 nucleotides) under Rattus norvegicus (Norway rat). RNAcentral describes it as "long non-coding RNA NONRATT007052". Lineage: Eukaryota; Metazoa; Chordata; Mammalia; Rodentia; Muridae. The record is from RNAcentral.